This 497-nucleotide ribosomal RNA is filed under the name uncultured bacterium. RNAcentral's name for it is "partial 16S ribosomal RNA". It matches the Rfam family "Bacterial small subunit ribosomal RNA", at positions 28 to 507 of the family's 1533-position model. The record is from RNAcentral.
GAUGAACGCUGGCGGCGUGCCUAAUACAUGCAAGUCGAGCGAACAGACGAGGAGCUUGCUCCUCUGACGUUAGCGGCGGACGGGUGAGUAACACGUGGAUAACCUACCUAUAAUACUGGGAUAACUUCGGGAAACCGGAUCUAAUACCGGAUAAUAUAUUGAACCGCAUGGUUCAAUAGUGAAAGACGGUUUUGCUGUCACUUAUAGAUGGAUCCGCGCUGCAUUAGCUAGUUGGUAAGGUAACGGCUUACCAAGGCAACGAUGCGUAGCCGACCUGAGAGGGUGAUCGGCCACACUGGAACUGAGACACGGUCCAGACUCCUACGGGAGGCAGCAGUAGGGAAUCUUCCGCAAUGGGCGAAAGCUUGACGGAGCAACGCCGCGUGAGUGAUGAAGGUCUUCGGAUCGUAAAACUCUGUUAUUAGGGAAGAACAAAUGUGUAAGUAACUAUGCACGUCUUGACGGUACCUAAUCAGAAAGCCACGGCUAACUACGUG